Long non-coding RNA from Herpailurus yagouaroundi (jaguarundi), 438 nucleotides. RefSeq lists it as uncharacterized. NCBI's taxonomy places the organism in Eukaryota, Metazoa, Chordata, Mammalia, Carnivora, Felidae. The transcript is spliced from 2 exons. The record is from RefSeq and is a predicted model, not a curated record.
UAUCAUCCCCCUUCCUAAGUUGAUAGUGAGUCUUAUUAAGUGGUGCUGUGUCAUAAAGUGUUGAGUUGUGUCAGCUGGAAAUGGAACAUGAUUAAGUAUAUAAAGGAGCCCCAGCCUCGCCUGCCACAACAUUAUACAACAGAAACCUUGGCAGUGUGCUAACAUCUUUUCUUUCUCGCUUUCCUGGGGAGCAGCGAGCCCGCCUCUCACCAUGUGGGUCCAGUUGUUGGUCCUGGGCUCAAGUUGGCCAAGUGCAGAGAAGCAAGCUAACAGGAGAGAGAAAAAAGGUUCCAGCUCUGUUAUAUAACGGCACUACAGUAACGCACCCCGGUCCUUGGCAGCCCUGUCAAUUCCUCCUCUCUGAAUUGUUGGUUCGGGACAAUCAUUCAGCAGGGAAUUACUUUCUCCUCUAUGAAAUAAAUGAGAUGUUAAACUAGU